GGAAUAUUGGACAAUGGAGGCAACUCUGAUCCAGCCAUGCCGCGUGAAGGAAUAAGGCCCUCUGGGUUGAAAACUUCUUUUAGACGGGACAAAAUCCCUUUAGGUGUAAAGGGUUGCUGGUACUGUCAGAUUCAGCAUCGGCCUACUCCGUGCCAGCAGCCGCGGUAAUACGAAGGAUGCAAGCGUAAUCCGGAAUUAGUGGGUUUACAGGGUCAGCAGGCGGACUAAUAAGUCAGGGGUGAAAGCCUGCAGCUUAACUGCAGAAUUGCCAUUGAUACUGUAAGCCUUGAGUUCAGUUGGGGUAGGCGGAAUGUGUCAUGUAGCGGUGAAAUGCUUAGAUAUUGCGCAGAACACCGAUUGCGAAGGCAGCUUGCUAAGCUGAAACUGACGCUGAGGCACGAAAGCGUGGGGAGCAAACA
RNAcentral lists this ribosomal RNA (419 nucleotides) under uncultured bacterium. RNAcentral's name for it is "bacterial SSU rRNA". It matches the Rfam family "Bacterial small subunit ribosomal RNA", at positions 358 to 774 of the family's 1533-position model. The record is from RNAcentral.